GGCUGCCUUUCCGCCCCCAUCGCACCUGCCUGUGAUGCCCAGGGCGGUCAGGCUGCAGCGCCAGGGCACAUGCUUGCACAUUACUGGGGCCAACUGCUCCCACAGCAGCAUUCCUUUUAACUGUGAGCAACAUAG
Pipistrellus kuhlii (Kuhl's pipistrelle) is the source of this 135-nucleotide small nucleolar RNA. The record is from RefSeq and is a predicted model, not a curated record. Lineage: Eukaryota; Metazoa; Chordata; Mammalia; Chiroptera; Vespertilionidae.